RNAcentral lists this ribosomal RNA (1083 nucleotides) under Triticum aestivum (bread wheat). Its description in RNAcentral is "partial small subunit ribosomal RNA". The record is from RNAcentral. Lineage: Eukaryota; Viridiplantae; Streptophyta; Magnoliopsida; Poales; Poaceae.
AUGGCGAAGAUGAUAGAUCCUCCGAAGGGCAAGGGAAACAGUGGGAAGCAUUACUACAUAAUGUGCGGGACGAUGUUUGAGAUCGACACCAAGUACGUGCCGAUCAAGCCCAUCGGAAGAGGAUCUUACGGGGUAGUUUGCUCGUCCAUGAACAAGGAUACGAACGAGAAGGUUGCGAUAAAAAAGAUUAACAAUAUCUUUGACAACCGUGAGGAUGCACUCAGGACGCUGCGCGAGCUGAAGCUCCUUCGGCACUUGAGUCACGAGAAUGUCAUUGCUUUGAAGGAUGUAAUGAUGCCAAUACAGAGGAGGAACUUCAAGGAUGUCUACUUGGUGUCCGAACUAAUGGACACGGAUCUGCAGAAGAUCAUCAGCUCGUGUAUAACGCUUUCCAAUGACCACUGCCAAUAUUUCCUAUUUCAGCUGCUCCGAGGGCUGAAGUAUCUUCAUUCAGCAGGGAUACUGCAUAGAGACCUGAAACCAGAAAACCUCUUGGUUAAUGCAAACUGUGACCUGAAGAUCUGUGACUUUGGUCUUGCUCGCACAAUUAACGCUAAAGUUCAGUCUAUGACUGGAUACGUUGUCACCCGCUGGUAUAGAGCUCCCGAGCUGCUGCUCGGCUGCGACAACUAUGGCACCUCCAUAGAUGACUGGUCAGUUGGCUGCAUCUUUGCUGAGCUACUUGGCCGCAAGUCGAUCUUCCCAGGAACCGAUUGCCUAAAUCAGCUUAAGCUUAUAGUCAAUGUUCUUGGCACCAUGAGCGAUGAUGACCUUGAGUUCAUUGACAACAUGAAAGCUCGCAAGUACAUCAAAUCCCUUUCGUACGCCGACGGGAUUCCCCUCACUAGCAUGUACCCACAAGCGGACCCUCUCGCCAUUGAUCUGUUGCAGAAGAUGCUGGUCUUCGAUCCUUCCAAUAGGAUCAGUGUCACUGAGGCUCUGGAGCACCCCUAUAUGUCUACGCUGUAUGAUCCCGACGCAAACCCUCCUGCUCAGGCGCCCAUCGAUCUCGAUAUAGAUGAAAAACUCGGCGUGGACAUGAUCCGAGAAAUGUUGUGGCAGGAGAUGCUCCAGUACCCCUGA